This 468-nucleotide ribosomal RNA is filed under the name uncultured bacterium. RNAcentral describes it as "partial 16S ribosomal RNA". It matches the Rfam family "Bacterial small subunit ribosomal RNA", at positions 28 to 507 of the family's 1533-position model. The record is from RNAcentral.
GACGAACGCUGGCGGCGUGCUUAACACAUGCAAGUCGAACGGAAAGGCCCUGCUUUUGUGGGGUGCUCGAGUGGCGAACGGGUGAGUAACACGUGAGUAACCUGCCCUUGACUUUGGGAUAACUUCAGGAAACUGGGGCUAAUACCGGAUAGGAGCUCCUGCUGCAUGGUGGGGGUUGGAAAGUUUCGGCGGUUGGGGAUGGACUAGCGGCUUAUCAGCUUGUUGGUGGGGUAGUGGCUUACCAAGGCUUUGACGGGUAGCCGGCCUGAGAGGGUGACCGGCCACAUUGGGACUGAGAGACGGCCCAGACUCCUACGUGAGGCAGCAGUGGGGAAUAUGGCACAAUGGGCGGAAGCCUGAUGCAGCAACGCCGCGUGCGGGAUGACGGCCUUCGGGUUGUAAACCGCUUUCGCCUGUGACGAAGCGUGAGUGACGGUAAUGGGUAAAGAAGCACCGGCUAACUACGUG